UCUCACUCUCAAUCAAGCAAAGGAAAGAAAAGCUCAUCAAACCCUCUAAGAACCUCCCUCAAAUCCGUUCGUCUUUAGCUCUUGUGUCAACUCCUUAAUUUAAAUUAAUCGUCACUGUCAGCAUCAUCAUCAACAUCAUCAUCCUUGACAACUGCCUUGUUUGCCUCACCCUCUUUGGAUAAAUUUUAGUGAUAGUUAAUUAAUAUAUAAUAAUGGCAGUGAUUGGAUGACAAUGACAUAAGAU
Molecule: long non-coding RNA, 244 nt
Filed under: Carica papaya (papaya)
Lineage: Eukaryota; Viridiplantae; Streptophyta; Magnoliopsida; Brassicales; Caricaceae
Description: long non-coding RNA (CPAP_LNC000804)
Source: RNAcentral